Molecule: ribosomal RNA, 468 nt
Filed under: uncultured bacterium
Lineage: Bacteria
Description: partial 16S ribosomal RNA
Rfam family: Bacterial small subunit ribosomal RNA
Source: RNAcentral
GACGAACGCUGGCGGCGUGCUUAACACAUGCAAGUCGAACGGAAAGGCCCUGCUUUUGUGGGGUGCUCGAGUGGCGAACGGGUGAGUAACACGUGAGUAACCUGCCCUUGACUUUGGGAUAACUUCAGGAAACUGGGGCUAAUACCGGAUAGGAGCUCCUGCUGCAUGGUGGGGGUUGGAAAGUUUCGGCGGUUGGGGAUGGACUCGCGGCUUAUCAGCUUGUUGGUGGGGUAGUGGCUUACCAAGGCUUUGACGGGUAGCCGGCCUGAGAGGGUGACCGGCCACAUUGGGACUGAGGUACGGCGCAGAGUCCUAUGGGAGGCAGCAGUGGGGAAUAUUGCACAAUGGGCGGAAGCCUGAUGCAGCAACGCCGCGUGCGUGAUGACGGCCUUCGGGUUGUAAACCGCUUUCGCCUGUGACGAAGCGGGAGUGACGGUAAUGGGUAAAGAAGCACCGGCUAACUACGUG